RNAcentral lists this ribosomal RNA (253 nucleotides) under uncultured bacterium. RNAcentral describes it as "partial 16S ribosomal RNA". It matches the Rfam family "Bacterial small subunit ribosomal RNA", at positions 524 to 776 of the family's 1533-position model. The record is from RNAcentral.
UACGGAGGGGGCUAGCGUUGUUCGGAAUUACUGGGCGUAAAGCGCGCGUAGGCGGACCUGCAAGUCGGGGGUGAAAGCCUGUGGCUCAACCACAGAAUUGCCUUCGAUACUGCAUGGCUUGAGACCGGAAGAGGUAAGUGGAACUGCGAGUGUAGAGGUGAAAUUCGUAGAUAUUCGCAAGAACACCAGUGGCGAAGGCGGCUUACUGGUCCGGUUCUGACGCUGAGGCGCGAAAGCGUGGGGAGCAAACAGG